RNAcentral lists this transfer RNA (70 nucleotides) under Oreolalax rhodostigmatus (red-spotted toothed toad). Its description in RNAcentral is "tRNA-Ala". It matches the Rfam family "tRNA". Rfam says of the family: Transfer RNA (tRNA) molecules are approximately 80 nucleotides in length. Lineage: Eukaryota; Metazoa; Chordata; Amphibia; Anura; Megophryidae. The record is from RNAcentral.
AAGGCUUUAGCUUAGUUUAAAGUAUCUGGUUUGCGUCCAGGCGAUGUGGGAUAGUGUCCUGCAAGUCUUA